RNAcentral lists this small RNA (83 nucleotides) under Marmota monax (woodchuck). Lineage: Eukaryota; Metazoa; Chordata; Mammalia; Rodentia; Sciuridae. The record is from RNAcentral.
GCCAGGUGUGGUGGUGUACAUCUAUAAUCCCAGCUACUUUGGAGGCUGAGGCAGGAAGACUUCUAGUUCAGGGCCAGCCUCAG